UGGGUGAUCUGCCCUGCACUUUGGGAUAAGCCUGGGAAACUGGGUCUAAUACCGAAUACACCUCAUGGACUACAUGGUUUGUGGGGAAAGCUUUUGCGGUGUGGGAUGGGCCCGCGGCCUACCAGCUUGUUGGUGGGUGAUGGCCUACCAAGGCGACGACGGGUAGCCGGCCUGAGAGGGUGUCCGGCCACACUGGGACUGAGACACGGCCCAGACUCCUACGGGAGCA
This 229-nucleotide ribosomal RNA is filed under the name uncultured bacterium. RNAcentral's name for it is "partial 16S ribosomal RNA". It matches the Rfam family "Bacterial small subunit ribosomal RNA", at positions 118 to 347 of the family's 1533-position model. The record is from RNAcentral.